RNAcentral lists this ribosomal RNA (853 nucleotides) under Paraconiothyrium cyclothyrioides. RNAcentral's name for it is "partial large subunit ribosomal RNA". It matches the Rfam family "Eukaryotic large subunit ribosomal RNA", at positions 71 to 941 of the family's 3401-position model. Lineage: Eukaryota; Fungi; Ascomycota; Dothideomycetes; Pleosporales; Didymosphaeriaceae. The record is from RNAcentral.
GGGAUUGCCCUAGUAACGGCGAGUGAAGCGGCAACAGCUCAAAUUUGAAAUCUGGCUCUCUUUGGGGGUCCGAGUUGUAAUUUGCAGAGGAUGCUUUGGCAUUGGCGGCGGUCUAAGUUCCUUGGAACAGGACAUCGCAGAGGGUGAGAAUCCCGUACGUGGGCGCCUGCCUUUGCCGUGUAAAGCUCCUUCGACGAGUCGAGUUGUUUGGGAAUGCAGCUCUAAAUGGGAGGUAAAUUUCUUCUAAAGCUAAAUACCGGCCAGAGACCGAUAGCGCACAAGUAGAGUGAUCGAAAGAUGAAAAGUACUUUGGAAAGAGAGUCAAAAAGCACGUGAAAUUGUUGAAAGGGAAGCGCUUGCAGCCAGACUUGCCCGCAGUUGCUCACCUAGGCUUUGGCCUGGGGCACUCUUCUGCGGGCAGGCCAGCAUCAGUUUGGGCGGUCGGACAAAGGCCUCUGUCAAGUAUCUCCCUUCGGGGUGACCUUAUAGGGGAGGCGUAAUGCGACCAGCCCGGACUGAGGUCCGCGCAUCUGCUAGGAUGCUGGCGUAAUGGCUGUAAGCGGCCCGUCUUGAAACACGGACCAAGGAGUCUAACAUCUAUGCGAGUGUUUGGGUGUCAAGCCCGGGCGCGCAAUGAAAGUGAACGGAGGUGGGAACCCUUUGGGUGCACCAUCGACCGAUCCUGAUGUCUUCGGAUGGAUUUGAGUAAGAGCAUAGCUGUUGGGACCCGAAAGAUGGUGAACUAUGCUUGAAUAGGGUGAAGCCAGAGGAAACUCUGGUGGAGGCUCGCAGCGGUUCUGACGUGCAAAUCGAUCGUCAAAUUUGGGCAUAGGGGCGAAAGACUAAUCGAACC